GCGCCCCGUUUCCCCCUGACAGCCGCCGGCUUUGUCUGCCGCCCGGCCCGCGCCCGCACCCGCACCCGCACCCGCACGCUCCCUCUCUUCUUUCUCCGCUCGCCUCUUUGUCCGUGUCUCCCUCGCCUCGCACCCCUCCCGCUUUGUGUCCCUGGGGAGACUCAGCCUCAGACCCCAGCCACCCCAGCCGGGCUGAUGCCGGGUGACCCCACACCCCUGACGGACUGACUGAUUUCAAAGCCCCAAACAGAUCCACCCACUGAGGCGGCUGAGAAAAGGAGUUCGGCAGGUGCAGCGCUGUCAGGAGAUGAGACAAGCUAGACACACACCUGCUCUGAGACAGUGGGCUGACAUGGGGGCAGCCUUGUCCGGUGGGACCGUCCAAGACGAUGGGAGUGUCCAGUACGGCAGCCACGAGCCACGUGUGGCCAGUGAGCACUUGAAAUGUGCCAGCGUGACUAAGGAAGCAUUGUGUUAGAGAGCUUCAUUCCCCACACCGUACCCACCCAGAUGCAGUGCUUCCUGGAAUGAACCAUGGUCUCCGUUUUUAUUCAAGGACAUGCUUCUCAAAAUGGAGGACGUGUACUUCCAGGGGUACCCGGUGGUAUGUCAGGAGGAAGGCAAAUGUGGAUGAGAAGUUCCUCUGUUUGCUCUGUUGAAGAUUUGAUGCCCCCUGUAGGAUGACAGUCAUUGCCCACCUGCCCAGCCCUGGAGAACCCACCUGGUGUGGCAACCCCAUAACCUUCCCUGCCUUGCCAAGGAGAAAGACAUGGAUAAUGCAAGAACACAAUGCACUGGUUCUUCAACCAGAAUGCAUUACAAUCUUCUGGGGACUUAAUAAAGAGACAGAUACCCGAACCCUUCUCUGAGCCUUCUGAACUUAUAGGAGUGUGUUUCCACCCACUCCUCAGGGAACACAGAUGCAUACCCACACCUGAGAGGCACUCUCAUGAUGAGAAGGUCCUGUCUGCAAGCACACAGCUUCUAGCACUGGAACGGGAAGCUCAUCAGGUUCAACUUUUUUUUUUUUCUGCAAGAGAAGAAAAAAAAGGAAAUCUCUAAUCUGCUGAUUAUUUCAGAAGAUUAUUAAUCUUUCGGGUGUCACCACAGAGACUUCAAGCAUGGGUAGAGUCAUAGCAAUUGUAGCCCUUUGCUUUUAGCAAUUAGUGUAAGAAAAUUAUAUUUCAGUUUAGCAGAAUUCCUUAUUUCUCUACUUAUGAAAGAAAAAAAACCCACCUUACUCAUUAGAGAACUGUUAGACCAGACUUAAAUUUUUAAGCAGAUGUCCAUGAAAAUUAUGAAGAAGAAUUUUACAAACUCGGUGUAUCUACUCUACUCAGCUCUGAAUCCAAUUCAGCUCAAUAUUAGUGGGAUAAAAUGACACUCCUUGGGCUUUUCAUACUUAUUUUGGGUCUGAACUCUGUGGGUUGGCAUUAUUUCUAUGGCUUUUUCAAAAGGCUUUUUAAUCUACCUUGAUAAGCCUCACCCUAAAGCAAAUCUAACUCAGCUAAAAUUAGUUACCCAUUAUAUUUUCAAUUGGAAUCCAUGUAACCCUCUUGUGAGUAGCUACCAUUUAUUCCAUCAUUUUAGUGAGCAUGUACUAUGUGUCAGGCACUGGACAAAAUGCAUUAUAGACACUGACCCAUUUAACUACUCUCAUUAACAAUGACUCUUAUUUCUCAGAUGAGGGAGCUGGGACACAAGAGUAGAGGUGACAGAACCAGGAUUGGUAUCCAUUUGUCCACGUGUCAUACUAUUGCCUGUGUGUACAGAAAAUAGAACUGCCACUUUUAGGGACUUGAUUCGAGUAAAGCAAAUAACAUUUGAAGUAUUAUCCAGUGCUGAGGCCUGUGGUUAUAGCCCUCAUGCGGGGAACAGGACAUCUGAUGCAGUGGGAAAGCAUGUUAUCCGAAGCUUUUAUUCAGUGGUGCUGGCUUUGACUGGCCCAGAUGUGCAUCUGAUCCAUGGAAGGUCAUGGAGACCUGUGACUCUCCACACCACUGUAUUUAUUUAAAAUGACCCGAAGGAAGACCCAUACGACCUAAAGACCAAAGGCAGGCUUUCUUCUAAUCCUCACACUAGCCUAAAUCAGUUAUGACUACCACUGACCUCAGGGUCCCAGAGUGACUCUUGGGAUGCUCUGCGAUUUUGGUUGGUUCCUAUUGCUCUCAGCAGAGGCCUGGGCCUGUUUUGUUUUGGUCACACUUGUACGAAUCUGAGCCACAGCUGUGACCUAAGCCACAGCUACAGCAAUGCCGAAUCCUUAACCUGCUGCAACACAGGGGGACCUGGAUUUGUUGACUGAAUUCACAGAUUUCCUUCCUGAACAGAAACAGGACUGCUCAUUUGUUUGAGGUGGAAGAGGAAGGAGUCGGGCUUCCAGACCCAAGUUAACUUACUUUAGCUUUUAUCUUUGUAACUUAGGAUUGCCUUUGCAGGUGCGCAGCCUGAUCCACUCCAGCCCAUUUUCCCCAUCUCAGUCUUGAGCAGGCUUUUGACAAGGGCUCCGUGGCUUUGGAUUUGUUCUCACCAUUAGGAGGGCUAUUGUCUGUCCUGCACCUACUGUGUAUGGUUUGAGAUGUUGCAUAUGCACUAUCUCAUUUGAUGAUGAAUUAUUAUUAAUCUGCCCUAAAGAUGAAGAAUUUGGGGUGGAAGGAAGUGAGUACCUUUACUGAAGAUCACAGCUUUAGAAAGGGGCAGAGCUGGAAUGUGAGCUCAGAUCAGCCAAACCUUCUCCCCUCGCCUCACAAGAUGCCUAUAAGAUAAUUGUUUUUUGGUUGGUCGAGACUAACGAGUCAACCAAAAGAACAUGAUACCAGAAUCUGGAGUUUUGGCUCAUUCUUCUGUGUGAGCUCUCUCCAAUAUGGAAAACAAAGGGUUAAUCUCUUUCACACACAAGCCUAUUUCUGACCCUCAGGGCAAAGUGGUGUUUCUGUCUUUUAUCCUCACUGGUUUAAAAAAAAAAAAA
RNAcentral lists this long non-coding RNA (2968 nucleotides) under Sus scrofa (pig). RNAcentral's name for it is "lncRNA (ENSSSCG00055019740.1)". Lineage: Eukaryota; Metazoa; Chordata; Mammalia; Artiodactyla; Suidae. The record is from RNAcentral.